Mustela lutreola (European mink) is the source of this 2623-nucleotide long non-coding RNA. RefSeq lists it as uncharacterized. The record is from RefSeq and is a predicted model, not a curated record. Lineage: Eukaryota; Metazoa; Chordata; Mammalia; Carnivora; Mustelidae. The transcript is spliced from 2 exons.
UCUUCUUAAACUCAGUUGGGCAGUGAAGGAAGGAGGGAGAGGAGGAGCCAUACGCCGUCCCCCAAAGGCUCGGCUGCCUCCACUGACAACUUGGGCACAUUCAUGGGCUCUCUGUACUCUUCCCCUGUUCCUGCAGAUGAGUGCAGAUGACGCUAAGCCCACACGCGCUGUCCUCUCUCAGAGGCUAGUGGGAGGAACUCUGGGCAGUGCGGAGACAAAGGCUGAGAACACCUUGAAGAGAGAGCGCAUGAGCACAAGCAGGGGAGCAACAAAGGCAGAGGGAGAAGCAGGCUCCCCGCUAAGCAGCCAGCCUCAAAUUCGGGACUCGAUCUCAAGCCACCCAGGUGUCCCAAGUUUGAUUUCUUUUCAUAACAAGAUCCAGCGAGGGCUCGCAUAGCUCAGAAAAGGCUGCAACACGGAUGGAGGUCAAGCCUGUGAGGAACGGCGGACCCUUAACAGAGUUGACUUGCAACCCGUCUGGUUGGAAGCUGAUCACAGCAAUCAAAUUGUCACUGCAAAUAAAGGCGUGAGUCUUAGCCUUUCUCCUUCUGGCCUUUCCAGCUAAGAUUCCAAGUCGGAAAAUCUCUUUUGUGACAACUGAUUUAGGAAAGAGCAAAAGCGUGUAAAAGGGACACCGUGAACUUUUAUAAAAUGUAUAUACUUCUUUUGAAUGUGUGUUAGAUGGUGCUCUGUGUGUUACAUGGUGUUACAGGGUUACAUGCUGGAUGGUUUUUUGGGUUUUUUGUGUGUGUUUCUUUUCUUUUAAAGAUUUUAUUUGUUUGUUAGAGAGAGAGAGGGAGAGAGAGCGAGCACAGGCAGGCAGAGAGGCAGGCAGAAGCAGAGGGAGAAGCAGGCUCCCUGCCGAGCAAGGAGCCGACAUGGGACUUGAUCCCAGGACGCUGGGAUCAUGACCCGAGCCAAAGGCAGCUGCUCAACCAUUUUACCUAAAAAAUGAUCAUUCAUUUUUGUUUUGUUUUGUCUUGAUUUGGGUGUUUGGUUUUUUUUUUUUUUAAAUUCAAUUAACCAGGCCACCUGGGUGGUUGAGUUGGUUAAGCAUCUGCCUUCUGCUCAGGUCAUGAUCCCCCUGUCCUGGGUUAGAGCCCUGCAUCAGGCUCCUUGGUCAGCGGGGCGUCUGCGUCUCCCUCUGCCUGCCACUCCCCUGCUUGUGCUCUCUCCAUUCUUCUCUGACCAAAAAACAAACAAACAGACCAAAAAAAAAAAAAAAAAAAAACCUUGAAAAAAAAUUUUUUCUAAAUUCAAUUAGCCAACAUAUAGUACAUCAUUAGCUUUUGUUGCAAUGUUCAAUGAUUCUUAGUUGUGAGUAACAGCCAGUGCUCAUCACAUCACAUGCCCUUCUUAAUGCCCAUCGCCCCACCCACCUUCCUUUCCACAACCCUCAGUUUGUUUCUCAGAGUCAAGGGUCUCAUAUAGUUCGUCUCCCUCUCUAAUAUUUCUUGCAUUUCAGUUUUCCCUCCCUUAUGUUCCACAUAUGAGUGAAACCAUCUGAUAAUUCCCUUUCUCUAAUUGACUUGCACAAAAAUGAUCAUUCUUGAACUGAGGGAUAUUCUACAGGGUCUGUGCUCUUCAUAAUGCCCAUGAAACCCUGACAGACUGUUCCAGGUCAAAAGAAGGUAGGGAGACUUGACAUCAGAAUGCCAAUGAUGUGUAUUCCGAGUUUUUCUUUUGCUAGAAAAGACGGUCAGGGAACAAUUGGUGACAUAUGAGUAGGGUCUGGGUAUUAAACAGUAGUACUGCACCAAUCUUAGCUUCCUGACUAUGAUAAUCAUAGAUGAUUCUAUAAGAUAAUAUCCUUAUUUUGGAAUAUUUGGAUAAUUAUUUGGAUUAAUACUUAUCUUUGAAGUAUUUAGAGUUAAAGAUAGCAGCAUGUCUGUAAUUUACUCUCAUACAAUUCAGUAAAAAAGUAGAUACAGAAAGAGAGAGAAAAGUGAAGCUAAUGUAAUCAAAUGUUAAUAUUUGAGGGCUCUAUCAGGAAAGCCUUUGUUCCAUAAGUCGAAAAUUAAGCCAAAUAAAAAGUUUUUAAUAAUAAAAAAUAGCUUUUAAAACCUUAAAAAAUGUGUAAGAUGGUAUUGUUAACAUUACAUAAAUAUUGCAAGGCACCACUGUAAAUACUUAGAAUAGUUUUAAUUAUUAAUAAUACGUUUUGCUUUUCAUGAUACACAUUAAAGUUCUAAGGGCAGAAAACAAAUUAGCAUAUAUAAUAAUUAAUGAUCUAACUGGGUGUGGUGCAUAAACAAUGAAUUUUGAAACACUGAAAAGAAAUAAAAUAAAAUGGAAAAAAUGAAAAAAAAUAAUGAUCUAACUGGUCUUAUGCUAUGAACAUCAGCAAUUGGUUCAGUCAUCAGUAGCAGGAAUUGUCCCCCAAGAGAACUGAUGUACACAUCUGGACCUCACAUGGAUGAUAAAAACACAUGACAUAGAGGAGAAUUUAAAGGAAUAUCAUUUUAUCACUGUACAUUUGAAUAUCACUCUUUCUCCUCUACAUGUUUUUGCCUAUAUUAUUUCAUUUUAUACCUUGCCUUCAUGUGCUAUCUUAGACUUGCAGUUUUUAAGUACACGUUUCACAGCUAGAUGAGAUUGUGUGUGUGUGUGUGUGUGUGUGUGU